This 497-nucleotide ribosomal RNA is filed under the name uncultured bacterium. Its description in RNAcentral is "partial 16S ribosomal RNA". It matches the Rfam family "Bacterial small subunit ribosomal RNA", at positions 28 to 507 of the family's 1533-position model. The record is from RNAcentral.
GAUAAACGCUGGCGGCGUGCCUAAUAAAUGCAAGUCGAGCGAACAGUCGAGGAGCUUGCUCCUCUGAUUUUAUCGGCGGUUGGGUGAGUAACACGUGGCUCACCUACCUAUAAGACUGGGAUAACUUCGGGAAACCGGCGCUACUACCGGAUAACAUGUUGAACCUCUUGGUUCAACAGUGAAAGACGGUCUUGCUGUCACUUAUAGAUUGAUCCGCGUCGCGUUCGCUAGUCGUUAAGGUAACGGCUUACCACGGCAACGAUGCGUAGACGAGCUAAGAGGGUCAUCGACCACCUUGUCACUGCGACACGUACCAGACACCGACGAGAGGCAGCAGAAGGGAAUCUUCCGCCAUGGGCGAAAGCCUAACAGAGCAACGCCGCGUGAAUGCAGAAAGUCUACGGAUCGGAAAACUCUGUUAUCAGGGAAGAACAAAUGUGAAAGUAACUAUGCACGUCAUGACGGUACCUAAUCAGAAAGCCACGGCUAACUACGUG